UCUAGGGUGUCAGCAGUGAGGAAUAUUGGUCAAUGGGAGAGAUCCUGAACCAGCCAAGCCGCGUGAGGGAAGACGGCCCUAUGGGUUGUACACCUCUUUUGUCGGAGAACAAAACCCGGGACGUGUCCCGGACUGCGUGUAUCCGAAGAAAAAGCAUCGGCUAACUCCGUUCCAGCAGCCGCGGUAAUACGGAGGAUGCGAGCAUUAUCAGGUUUUAUUGGGUUUAAAGGGUGCGUAGGCGGGCCGUUAAGUCGGCGGUAAAAUUGCGGGGGGCAACCCUGUCGCGCCGUUGAAACUGUCAGACUUGAGUUGGCGAGAAGUACGCGGAAUGCGCGGUGUAGCGGUGAGAUGCAUAGAUAUCGCGCAGAACUCCGAGUGCGAAGGCAGCGUACCGGCGCCAGACUGACGCUGAGGCACGAAAGCGUGGGGAUCGAACAGGAUUAGAUACCCCUGUAGUC
RNAcentral lists this ribosomal RNA (458 nucleotides) under uncultured bacterium. Its description in RNAcentral is "partial 16S ribosomal RNA". It matches the Rfam family "Bacterial small subunit ribosomal RNA", at positions 338 to 795 of the family's 1533-position model. The record is from RNAcentral.